UUCGGAAGCCUCAAUACAGGUGGUGCAUGGUUGUCGUCAGCUCGUGUCGUGAGAUGUUGGGUUAAGUCCCGCAACGAGCGCAACCCUUACCAUUAGUUGCCAGCAUGUAAAGAUGGGAACUCUAGUGGGACUGCCGAUGACAAAUCGGAGGAAGGUGGGGAUGACGUCAAAUCAUCAUGCCCUAUAUGCCCUGGGCUACACACGUGCUACAAUGGUCGGAACAAAGGGAAGCGAAACAGUGAUGUAAAGCAAACCCCAUAAAGCCGAUCCCAGUUCGGAUUGUACUCUGCAACUCGAGUACAUGAAGUCGGAGUUGCUAGUAAUCGCAGAUCAGAAUGCUGCGGUGAAUGCGUUCUCGGGUCUUGUACACACCGCCCGUCACACCAUGGGAGUUGGCAAUACCCGAAGCCGUCGAGCUAACCGUAAGGGAGCAGACGUCGAAGGUAGGGUUAAUGACUGGGGUGAAGUCGUAACAAGGUAGCCGUAUCGGAAGGUGCGGCUGGAUCACCUCCUUU
This 515-nucleotide ribosomal RNA is filed under the name Peptoniphilus koenoeneniae. Its description in RNAcentral is "bacterial SSU rRNA". It matches the Rfam family "Bacterial small subunit ribosomal RNA", at positions 1019 to 1533 of the family's 1533-position model. Lineage: Bacteria; Bacillati; Bacillota; Tissierellia; Tissierellales; Peptoniphilaceae. The record is from RNAcentral.